RNAcentral lists this microRNA precursor (125 nucleotides) under Olea europaea subsp. europaea. The record is from RNAcentral. Lineage: Eukaryota; Viridiplantae; Streptophyta; Magnoliopsida; Lamiales; Oleaceae.
UUGGCUUUCUCUGAACUCUCUCCCUCAAUGACCCUUUCACUUUAGCUUAGUCUUAUGCAUUAUUUAUGCAGAGAAUUAAGGAUGAAGGAGGAGCCGUUGAGGUGGGGUGGUUCAGAAAUUGCCGG